This is a non-coding RNA of Heterocephalus glaber (naked mole-rat), 1802 nucleotides long. NCBI's taxonomy places the organism in Eukaryota, Metazoa, Chordata, Mammalia, Rodentia, Bathyergidae. The record is from RefSeq and is a predicted model, not a curated record.
GACCUCUCCCCUUCCUACCCUGCAUCGACUGCAGCUGGUCUGCGGCAGGUGGCGCCCAAUGCGGGGCAGGUAAGGGGGGUAAUCAAUUAAUUAUAGUUCGGUCUUGGGCGGCCUUCACCCCAUAGGGCACUGCAGGCCCCGCACUCAGAGAAAAAGAGUAGGCGUUAAGAGAGGGGUGAAUAGUCAGAACUUAUAGAGAAGAUAAUGGGCCACAAGGGGUCUAAAGAAAGAGGACUCAUUGUUGAUAUUUUACAACACUGUUUGCAAUCUCAUAAGGUUAAGGUUGCUACCAAAAAUUUAUCAGCCUUCCUGGACUUCAUUCAGAAAUGUUGUCCUUGGUUCCCAGAUGAAGGAACUUUCGACAUGGAUACUUGGGGACGCGUGGGAAAAGACACACAGAAAUAUUAUACUGAAUAUGGGCCAGAAAAAACUCCUGUUAAUGCUUUCUCUUAUUGGUCUGUGAUUAAUCAAUCUAUGGGUUUUUCUAUGAUUAAUUCUUGUCCCUCAGAUACUUUUCCUUCAGCACCCCCAGAGGAAACUCCAUUGUUAAAGACUAAAAAAUUUCCUUCCAUUUAUGGGGUAAUAGAAAAUGAAAAUGAUUCAGAUGAGCUUUUGCCACCUUCCAAGGAGAAGGAUUUAGAGGAACAAGCAGCUCGAUAUCACAAUCCUGAUUGGCAACCUUUACAGCCCACAGCUUUGUGCAGCCCUAAAAAAUCUAAAGGUAAGGCUCGCAGGCAACCUUUUCCUCCACCACCAAAUCAGGUUGGCUUUGCAGGAGCUGUUCGUGAAGCUACUGCAGUGGGCGAUGCCACUUUCUCCUGCUUUCCUGUCAUCUUUGACGCAGACUGGGACUAUGAGCCGUCCUCAGAACCCAUUCGCCGUGGGGUCACAGAACUCCAACGGGCCACUCCAGGAAGCGCAGGAUUGGACCUCAGUUCCACCUCCUCAACAAUACUGACUAUGGACUCCCUGCCUGUUGCGGUGCCUACUGGAGUGUAUGGACCUCUUCCUGAAGGUUUAUCCAGGACAAAGAAUAGCACAGUUGCUGCUUUUACCAUCUAUGACUGUGGGCUCGUCUAUUACAACUGAGGAACGGGCUGAUAAGGGCUUCGGCUCUAGUGACUGGACUUUCUGGAUACAACAGAACUCCGAUUCACCUAUCUGGGUCCCAGAUCGUCUGGUACAACUACAUGGCAACACCACCGCCCUACAGCCCACGUCCUACCUAUUCAUCGAUCCCGCUGAGGAUGCUCCCUCCUCCGCCAUACCAGGAGAACAUCUAUGAGGAGCUUCGUCCCUCCCCUCGGGGUCCACCUUCUCCUUCCUCUCUUACAGAUUUAGAGCUCAGAGUUGAUCAGCUGUCUGCUCGUCUCCAUCAGCUUCAGUUACAGGGACGUCCUCGUCACCGUCCUGCAUGCUCUACCAGACAAAGUCCUCCACCGACCUGGGGCCAAAUUAAGAGCCUCACCGAAAAGGCCAAGGGUCUCGUCUAUAGUCAGCAUCUCCCUAUGACUUCUGAUAGGCUGUUUGUUGCAAUGUUAGCUAUGAUUGCUACUCAGUCAUCUUCAGACAAUUAAUUCGAGCCCUCAAGAAUAUCCAACUUGAACUCCAGGCCACCAAAAUAAAAAAACAAAAACAAAAAAGGGGGGGAUGGCGAAGCCCAACUGACCUCCAAGGCUGCUUGAAAAAGUUCCAGCUUGGGGAAAAGAAGGGUGGAACACAUCGUACCCUCAUGUUUUAUUUUUUUCACGCCAUAAUGUUUACAAUUGUUACUCUGGUCACAGGAGUCAUUGUGUUUGUGA